UAGGGAAUCUUCCACAAUGGGCGAAAGCCUGAUGGAGCAACGCCGCGUGUGUGAUGAAGGCUUUCGGGUCGUAAAGCACUGUCGUAUGGGAAGAACAGCUAGAAUAGGAAAUGAUUUUAGUUUGACGGUACCAUACCAGAAAGGGACGGCUAAAUACGUGCCAA
RNAcentral lists this ribosomal RNA (164 nucleotides) under uncultured bacterium. Its description in RNAcentral is "partial 16S ribosomal RNA". It matches the Rfam family "Bacterial small subunit ribosomal RNA", at positions 355 to 511 of the family's 1533-position model. The record is from RNAcentral.